This is a long non-coding RNA of Phyllopteryx taeniolatus (common seadragon), 1309 nucleotides long. RefSeq lists it as uncharacterized. The record is from RefSeq and is a predicted model, not a curated record. The transcript has 2 exons. Lineage: Eukaryota; Metazoa; Chordata; Actinopteri; Syngnathiformes; Syngnathidae.
ACUUUGUGUAAACAGCGAGCCCCCGCAUCUUUUGCGGUCCGACAUUACUGAACUCACCUAUUGUCAGUUUUUGUGCUCACUUGUACGGUACUUACGAAAAGCCCGACACCAAGGCACACAGCAAUGCUCGGCGGUAAUGCCUCUUGUUUGAUGACUUGAACGUUUUCAUUUUCCUUUGGGAGGGUAGUGUUGACUAGCAGGUAGCGUUUCGAAAAAUCGAACAGAAUGCUCGGUGGAACGGCUGAAAUUCACGGUCCAGCACUGGCAUACAGGAAAUCAAAGUAUGAAUUUGGCACCAUAUUGUGGCAUCUUGGUGCCGAUGAACUAUAUUGAAGGGAGUUAAGGAGUCUCAUUUCGGUGGUUCCCCUUCCAAAGCAAGAAACUCAAUCACAGCGCUGCGUCCAACAAUGACAUCACUUCCAAAAUGGCUGACAGGAAGAAAGAGGACAGACUUGAAUAAAACCUCUUCAAAUAAGCCUUUAAAAACCGUGAACAUUUCAGGAAAACAAAAUCAAAUAAAAAUGAUAGGUUAACCAAAAUCGGUGACAUUACUUUUUGACUGCCCCUUGCAUAAUACAAGAAAAUAAUGCUAUAAUACAGUAAUUUGGAUGUUUUUGGGAAGGAAUGGUAGCAUCUUCAUAAUUAAGUCAAGCGUGACAACAUAAGUGUAACUGCCUGACAAAUUAUGAUGUGUGUGUGUGCGUGUUAUGUGCCCGCCACCGACUGAGUGGCAGUUGAAGUGGAUGAAGGAGGGAAAGGUGUGGCGCUUCUGGGGAUCCGUUACAUACUUUGAUGCGGGGCCACUGGAAAGGGUAGAGCGGUUUAGGGGAUUCGAACGUGAGGAGGAGGGGCCGGGCGGCAUGUCAGGGCAGGCUAUCACGACGAAGAGGAAGUCAAAAUGUGUUGAAACGAUGCAGCUGAUCUUCUUGCUGUGUGCUCGUCAUUCGCCUUGUCUCAUUUGUAGAGUGCCGGGUGGCGUGUGACACAGAUUGGAAAUGCACAGCAAAAGGUGAGAGGAGAGAGCCAAAUGCGACCCGAUAUGUGAUAUGGAAUCACGUACUAAACACAUCCCUGUGGCACAAGGCGCUGGCAAGCGUGCGGCACGAAUGGGACUGAUGUUGAUGCCAGCAGCGCGUGACGACGGGCCUGAGAUGCACGACUCGAAUACACACACACAUCGUACGACAUCCAAUUUUUUUAAAAUGGCACUGUCAAUUGUUAUUUCCAUCCCUAGCUAAAAUGUGAUAAGAUAUACACUUUAAUAUGUUGACUGUACAGUAUCUUACAAUUAAACAUUUGUGUCAGCAGA